AAAAAAGAAAAAAACACGAGAAUUGCCCGGGCGGGAAGAAUGUUUUUCCAGAUGAAAAGUUUUCAGCAUCAGAAACUCAACAGCUGCAGCGGGAAAACCUGUCGAAAAGGCCCGGCAAGGACACGAAAAAAAAAAUAUGGAAAGCAGUAUUAAAGUUGCUUCGACCCAAAGCGUGCCGGCUGCCCUUUCAGCUACUGCUGCUCAACUGGAUGUAAUCGAGCCGCUGGAGUCGGUCGAGCAAUUGGCUUCCUGUUGGCCUUCUUGUGCGUAGGUGUUGGCCGUCGGGGAACACUUCGGCUUGUUCAGGAUAUAGCUAUCUUCGUCCUCUGCGCAUUUGGUACACGGUGAACAUCACCACCAGUAAAACGGAGAAUAGACCGACCACGGCUUCCCGAUGACAGCCGCUAGGAUGCUCGCGGUUCAGUCCUCGGUGUUGAGGUACAUAAUUAGGACGCAGCUGCCUUCGAACGGGUGCCGAUUCAGAUCCAUGCCGCCCCUGAAUCUACAUUGAGUGAAAUUUAGUGACUUUGUAUAAUUGUAAAAAAUUUCAAUAAAAAUCCUUUUAGGAUGCGAUAAA
Long non-coding RNA from Uranotaenia lowii, 577 nucleotides. RefSeq lists it as uncharacterized. The record is from RefSeq and is a predicted model, not a curated record. NCBI's taxonomy places the organism in Eukaryota, Metazoa, Arthropoda, Insecta, Diptera, Culicidae. The transcript is spliced from 2 exons.